Molecule: ribosomal RNA, 255 nt
Filed under: uncultured bacterium
Lineage: Bacteria
Description: partial 16S ribosomal RNA
Rfam family: Bacterial small subunit ribosomal RNA
Source: RNAcentral
UACGUAGGGUGCGAGCGUUGUCCGGAAUUAUCGGUGCGUAAAGAGCUCGUAGGCGGUGUGUCGCGUCGGCCGUGAAAACCUGCAGCUUAACUGUGGGCUUGCGGUCGAUACGGGCAUCACUGGAGUUCGGCAGGGGAGACUGGAAUUCCUGGUGUAGCGGUGAAAUGCGCAGAUAUCAGGAGGAACACCGGUGGCGAAGGCGGGUCUCUGGGCCGAUACUGACGCUGAGGAGCGAAAGCGUGGGGAGCGAACAGG